Non-coding RNA from Gossypium hirsutum (cotton), 107 nucleotides. Lineage: Eukaryota; Viridiplantae; Streptophyta; Magnoliopsida; Malvales; Malvaceae. The record is from Rfam.
AUUUCAUGAUGAGAGCACUUCCGUAGUAAUUAUUUGUACCUUUCCCAUGCCUCAUACACGGACUCAUCAUCCAUCUGUUGGAAAGUAGUGAUCUCGUUCCUUAACUU